RNAcentral lists this ribosomal RNA (2051 nucleotides) under Deltaproteobacteria bacterium RIFOXYA2_FULL_55_11. RNAcentral's name for it is "bacterial LSU rRNA". It matches the Rfam family "Bacterial large subunit ribosomal RNA", at positions 1 to 1966 of the family's 2925-position model. Lineage: Bacteria; Deltaproteobacteria. The record is from RNAcentral.
AUGUGGUCAAGCUACUAAGGGCAUAUGGUGGAUGCCUUGGCACGAGUAGGCGAUGAAGGGCGUGGCUAGCUGCGAUAAGCUUCGGGGAGCCGCUAAGCAGGCUUUGAUCCGGAGAUCUCCGAAUGGGGCAACCCGAUCCUGGUAAUUCGGGAUCAUCUCACGCUGAAUUCAUAGGCGUGUGAGGCGAACGGGGGGAAGUGAAACAUCUCAGUACCCCCAGGAAUAGAAAUCAAUAGAGAUUCCCUCAGUAGUGGCGAGCGAAAGGGGAAGAGCCCAAACCGCUGGAAGCAAUUCCAUCGGGGUUGUGGGGCUGCUUUAGGGUGUAGCCCGGGAAGUUACCAAGUCAGGUCAUAACUGAAGGCUCCUGGAAAGGACAACCGAAGAGGGUGAUAGUCCCGUAAGUUAAAUGACUCUGGCCUUCCUGAAGGCAGUUCCCGAGUACCGCGGGACACGGGAAAUCCCGCGGGAAGCCGGGAGGACCAUCUCCCAAGGCUAAAUACUAACUCGUGACCGAUAGUGAACUAGUACCGCGAGGGAAAGGUGAAAAGCACCCCAGUGAGGGGAGUGAAAUAGUACCUGAAACCAUGUGCCUACAAGCAGUGGGAGGGCUAUGUCCCAAGCUUCGGCUAGGGAUAUGCCUGACCGCGUGCCUUUUGCAUAAUGAGUCUGCGAGUUACUCUACGCAGCAAGGUUAAGCCGACUGAGGUGGAGCCGUAGCGAAAGCGAGUCUUAAAUGGGCGAUUUGAGUUGCGUGGAGUAGACCCGAAGCGGGAUGAUCUACCCAUGGCCAGGGUGAAAUUUCGGUAACACGAAAUGGAGGCCCGAACUGGUGAAGGUUGAAAACUUCUCGGAUGAGCUGUGGGUAGGAGUGAAAGGCUAAUCAAAUUCCGUGAUAGCUGGUUCUCCCCGAAAUAUAUUGAGGUAUAGCCUCGUGUCUAGCAGGCGGAGGUAGAGCUCUGGAUGGGCUAAGGUCCUUACCGGGAUACUAAACCUAACCAAACUGCGAAUUCCGUCUUGCCGAAUCACGGGAGUCAGACUGCGGGAGAUAAGUUCCGUGGUCGAGAGGGAAAGAGCCCAGAUCGCCGGCUAAGGUCCCAAAAUAUGUGCUCAGUGGGAAAGGAUGUGGAAGCGCUCAGACAGCCAGGAGGUUGGCUUAGAAGCAGCCAUCCUUUAAAGAAAGCGUAACAGCUCACUGGUCGAGUGAGUCCGCGCCGAAGAUGUAACGGGGCUAAGCACAUUACCGAAGCCGCGAACUUAACGGUUUCUUCGGAAAUUGUUAAUUGGUAGGGGAGCAUUCCAGUCGCCUGCGAAGGCAGACCGUAAGGACUGCUGGAGGUUCUGGAAGGGAUUAUGCAGACAUGAGUAGCGAUAAAAUGGGUGAGAAACCCAUUCGCCGUAAGUCUAAGGUUUCCUGGGUAAAGUUAAUCUUCCCAGGGUUAGUCGGUCCCUAAGCCGAGGCCGAAAGGCGUAGGUGAUGGAAAGCAGGUUAAUAUUCCUGCACCACCGAUGAUGCGUUAUCAGCGAAGGGGGGACGAAGAAGGGUAGGUCAUCCGGGUGUUGGAUGUCCCGGUUCAAGCCUGUAGGCGGGUCCGCUAGGCAAAUCCGGCGGGCCAUUCCAAACGCCGAGAGGUGAUGACGAGUCCCGCAAGGGACGCAAAGUGAUUGAUCCCAUGCUUCCGAGAAAAUCCUCGUAGCGAGCAUCAUAGGUGACCGUACCGCAAACCGACUCAGGUAGACGGGUAGAAUAUACCAAGGCGCUUGAGAGAACCGUGGUUAAGGAACUCAGCAAACUGACACCGUAACUUCGGAAGAAGGUGUGCCCACCGUGGUGAAGUUCUUGCGAAUGGAGCUGUGGUGGGUUGCAGUGAACAGGGGGUGGCGACUGUUUAUCAAAAACACAGGACUCUGCUAAGUCGCAAGACGACGUAUAGGGUCUGACGCCUGCCCGGUGCCGGAAGGUUAAGGAGAGAGGUUAGCCGCAAGGCAAAGCUUUGAACCGAAGCCCCGGUAAACGGCGGCCGUAACUAUAACGGUCCUAAGGUAGCGAAAUU